UUCCCUCCUCCCCUCACUGCUACUGUCACGUGACACCACCUGUGUGACGUCGCAGCCAGUUUGCAGCGCAGGUGGUAAAUCCCGGAAAACACAAACGACCAACAUGUUAUCUAAAUAAAAGAGUAUUUCUCGACAGUUUUGCAAGAAAAUCUAAUUUCUGUGAUAAAAGGCUGUUCACCAUGUCUUCUGGACCUGAGGGUGUUGGGCUGACCCACUGUAAGUGUGUCUUGGUGUUUGCAGUCUUUAUGGAUCUUCUCGGGGUGUCUGCUAUUCUGAUCGGUGUCUUCGUCCCGCUUGAAGUCGGGGGCCGUGACUUUGGGGAUCUGAUGGUGUAUUCAGGAGCUCUACUGGUGUUGAUGUCUAUGGGGGGUUGGGUCAUGUGGUACAGUGGGAAUAUUGAGGGUUUGAGAUCGGGGAAUGAGCUGACACACAAACGCAACGCCGUGGACAGGUUUGCUCGCACCCUUAGUCGUCGCAUACGGAAACCCCACCGCAGCCACAACACAUCCUGACCUCUGACCUCAAGACAUGGCUGAGAGCACAUACACAGGGCUUAGGAAACCACAAACAAGGCCAAAACCUCAGCUGGAAUCUAAGGAAAAUGGAAUGAUAAAGAACGUUUUGCAAGGAUGAAGGCUGACACGGAUACAGUAUAUUGUUACAAUGUGGUGUUUGUUACUACUACUAUAAAAAAAAUGUAUAAAAUUGAAGUUAUGUUAUAGUGUUAA
This is a long non-coding RNA of Carassius gibelio (silver crucian carp), 728 nucleotides long. RefSeq lists it as uncharacterized. Lineage: Eukaryota; Metazoa; Chordata; Actinopteri; Cypriniformes; Cyprinidae. The record is from RefSeq and is a predicted model, not a curated record. The transcript is spliced from 2 exons.